This is a long non-coding RNA of Sebastes umbrosus (honeycomb rockfish), 543 nucleotides long. RefSeq lists it as uncharacterized. The record is from RefSeq and is a predicted model, not a curated record. Lineage: Eukaryota; Metazoa; Chordata; Actinopteri; Perciformes; Sebastidae. The transcript has 4 exons.
UCUGCAGGUCUGUGCUUACAAGUGAAGCUGCAGCGAUGUUUGCCAUUUAAACAUAAGCUGGAGAUUUACAUUGCAGAAGGAACCCAUUCCACUGAAGAAGAUAUUAACAAGCAGAUCAACGAUAAGGAGCGAGUGGCGGCCGCCAUGGAAAACCCCAACCUGAGGGAGAUGGUGGAGCAGUGUGUCACCGAACCGGACGACUGACUGACUGACGGAGGGAGGGAGGGAGCGCCACCUCCCUGAAGGAAACACCUCGGAGCCGCAGUGUGUGUGUGUGUAUGUGUGUGUGUGUGUGAGUGUGUGUUGACACUCCGAUCAUUCCCUGCUGGACGGCGUCGCGGUGAACAGCAGCAGGUCUUUGUUGUCGUCUGGAUCGGACGCUGCAGAGGAAAUGGGCCAGAGAUUUUAGAAGUCUGUCCUUUUGUUAAUCACUCAGAUUCAAGUCUGAGUAGAAAGUGUGAAUCUUUUAGAGGUGAUUAUUUUCAAUAAAAAAAAGAUGUGAUGUACAAAAGAAUCCGUUAUUAAAAGCUAGGUCAACGAGAA